ACAGAUUUUGCUCAAAAAAUAGAUUAUUUCAUCUUAGAUCAUGUUUAACGCAAAGUAUGUUUUAUUCUUUUAUUCAAGGUUCAAAAGGGAAUUGCUUCUCCAAUGAAGAAAGAUUGUCAUGGAAGAUUUUAUCGUUUGGAAGAGAUGGAAGAGGAGAGAAGAUCCACCGUAAAGGAAAGAAAAAUGGCAAGCUUUCUGAUGUUGGAGAGAAUUCCCUUUUGAAGGUUCAAAAGGGAAUUGCUUCUCCAAUGAAGAAAGAUUGUCAUGGAAGAUUUUAUCGUUUGGAAGAGAUGGAAGAGGAGAGAAGAUCCACCGUAAAGGAAAGAAAAAUGGCAAGCUUUCUGAUGUUGGAGAGAAUUCCCUUUUGAAGGUUCAAAAGGGAAUUGCUUCUCCAAUGAAGAAAGAUUGUCAUGGAAGAUUUUAUCGUUUGGAAGAGAUGGAAGAGGAGAGAAGAUCCACCGUAAA
Molecule: non-coding RNA, 465 nt
Organism: Parasteatoda tepidariorum (common house spider)
Lineage: Eukaryota; Metazoa; Arthropoda; Arachnida; Araneae; Theridiidae
Source: RefSeq, a predicted model, not a curated record